UAGGGAAUCUUCGGCAAUGGACGGAAGUCUGACCGAGCAACGCCGCGUGAGUGAAGAAGGUUUUCGGAUCGUAAAGCUCUGUUGUUAGAGAAGAACGUUGGUAGGAGUGGAAAAUCUACCAAGUGACGGUAACUAACCAGAAAGGGACGGCUAACUACGUGCCAGCAGCCGCGGUAAUACGUAGGUCCCGAGCGUUGUCCGGAUUUAUUGGGCGUAAAGCGAGCGCAGGCGGUUCUUUAAGUCUGAAGUUAAAGGCAGUGGCUUAACCAUUGUACGCUUUGGAAACUGGAGGACUUGAGUGCAGAAGGGGAGGGUGGAAUUCCAUGUGUGGCGGUGAAAUGCGUAGAUAUAUGGAGGAACACCGGUGGCGAAAGCGGCUCUCUGGUCUGUAACUGACGCUGAGGCUCGAAAGCGUGGGGAGCAAACAGG
RNAcentral lists this ribosomal RNA (429 nucleotides) under Bacillota bacterium. RNAcentral's name for it is "Firmicutes bacterium partial 16S ribosomal RNA". It matches the Rfam family "Bacterial small subunit ribosomal RNA", at positions 355 to 776 of the family's 1533-position model. Lineage: Bacteria; Bacillati; Bacillota. The record is from RNAcentral.